This 468-nucleotide ribosomal RNA is filed under the name uncultured bacterium. RNAcentral's name for it is "partial 16S ribosomal RNA". It matches the Rfam family "Bacterial small subunit ribosomal RNA", at positions 28 to 507 of the family's 1533-position model. The record is from RNAcentral.
GACGAACGCUGGCGGCGUGCUUAACACAUGCAAGUCGAACGGAAAGGCCCUGCUUUUGUGGGGUGCUCGAGUGGCGAACGGGUGAGUAACACGUGAGUAACCUGCCCUUGACUUUGGGAUAACUUCAGGAAACUGGGGCUAAUACCGGAUAGGAGCUCCUGCUGCAUGGUGGGGGUUGGAAAGUUUCGGCGGUUGGGGAUGGACUCGCGGCUUAUCAGCUUGUUGGUGGGGUAGUGGCUUACCAAGGCUUUGACGGGUAGCCGGCCUGAGAGGGUGGCCGGCCACAUGGGGACUGAUAUACGGCCCAGACUCCUACGGGAGGCAGCAGUGGGGAAUAUUGCACAAUGGGCGGAAGCCUGAUGCAGCAACGCCGCGUGCGGGAUGACGGCCUUCGGGUUGUAAACCGCUUUCGCCUGUGACGAAGCGUGAGUGACGGUAAUGGGUAAAGAAGCACCGGCUAACUACGUG